RNAcentral lists this ribosomal RNA (253 nucleotides) under uncultured bacterium. RNAcentral describes it as "partial 16S ribosomal RNA". It matches the Rfam family "Bacterial small subunit ribosomal RNA", at positions 524 to 776 of the family's 1533-position model. The record is from RNAcentral.
UACGAAGGGGGCUAGCGUUGCUCGGAAUUACUGGGCGUAAAGGGCGCGUAGGCGGAUAUCUAAGUUGGGGGUGAAAUCCCGGGGCUCAACCUCGGAAUUGCCUUCAAAACUGGAUAUCUUGAGUUCGGGAGAGGUGAGUGGAACUGCGAGUGUAGAGGUGAAAUUCGUAGAUAUUCGCAAGAACACCAGUGGCGAAGGCGGCUCACUGGCCCGAUACUGACGCUGAUGCACGAAAGCGUGGGGAGCAAACAGG